GGCUUCCUCAGCAUCUGAUUUAGAUUGUAUCUGCUACUGAAACAAUGCAAAAACAAGUGAGGAAAUUGAAAAAUAAAUAAUGGACUUUUCCAUUUAUGACACCAGAGAAUUGAUUUUCCAAUAUUUGCUAGAAAAAAAAGAAGCCUGUUUUAACUUCCGUUUGUUAUUUGUUAAAUCACUGACAUGGCUUAUGGCCCUAGAUUCCUAAUUUGUAAUCUGCAAACACCACGAACAAUGU
This 238-nucleotide unclassified non-coding RNA is filed under the name Hevea brasiliensis (rubber tree). The record is from RNAcentral. Lineage: Eukaryota; Viridiplantae; Streptophyta; Magnoliopsida; Malpighiales; Euphorbiaceae.